Molecule: ribosomal RNA, 460 nt
Filed under: uncultured bacterium
Lineage: Bacteria
Description: partial 16S ribosomal RNA
Rfam family: Bacterial small subunit ribosomal RNA
Source: RNAcentral
CCUACGGGAGGCAGCAGUGAGGAAUAUUGGUCAAUGGACGAGAGUCUGAACCAGCCAAGUAGCGUGAAGGAUGACUGCCCUAUGGGUUGUAAACUUCUUUUAUAUGGGAAUAAAACAGGGUAUGCAUACCCUCUUGUAUGUACCAUAUGAAUAAGGAUCGGCUAACUCCGUGCCAGCAGCCGCGGUAAUACGGAGGAUCCGAGCGUUAUCCGGAUUUAUUGGGUUUAAAGGGAGCGUAGGUGGAUUGUUAAGUCAGUUGUGAAAGUUUGCGGCUCAACCGUAAAAUUGCAGUUGAAACUGGAAGUUUUGAGUACAGUAGAGGUGGGCGGAAUUCGUGGUGUAGCGGUGAAAUGCUUAGAUAUCACGAAGAACUCCGAUUGCGAAGGCAGCCUGCCAAGCCAUGACUGACGCUGAUGCACGAAAGCGUGGGGAUCAAACAGGAUUAGAUACCCUGGUAGUC